CCUACGGGAGGCAGCAGUAGGGAAUAUUGCUCAAUGAGCGAAACCCUGAAGCAGCAACACCGCGUGGAGGAUGAAGGUUUUCGGAUUGUAAACUCCUUUUGUUAGAGAAGAUAAUGACGGUAUCUAACGAAUAAGCACCGGCUAACUCCGUGCCAGCAGCCGCGGUCAUACGGAGGGUGCAAGCGUUACUCGGAAUCACUGGGCGUAACGAGCACGUAGGCGGGAUAGCAAGUCAGAUGGGAAAUCCUCUGGCUUAACCCUCGAAGUGCAUUUGAAACUGUUAUUCUAGAGUAUGGGAGAGGUAGGUGGAAUUCUAGGUGUAGCGGUAAAAUGCGUAGAGAUAAAGAGGAACACUAAAGGCGAAGGCGACCUGCUAGAACAAUACUGACGCUGAGGCGCGAAAGCGUGGGGAGCAAACAGGAUUAGAGACCCGAGUAGUC
RNAcentral lists this ribosomal RNA (440 nucleotides) under uncultured bacterium. RNAcentral's name for it is "partial 16S ribosomal RNA". It matches the Rfam family "Bacterial small subunit ribosomal RNA", at positions 338 to 795 of the family's 1533-position model. The record is from RNAcentral.